GUCAUAUAUGAUGGGAACUGCCUUUCUGUAUGUGUGAUAUCCUUUAAACUGGAGAGUGUCAGAGGUUAGAAGAGAUCAUAGAGAGUGGGAUCAACACGUGAGUCAAAACCAAGCUGGAGGCCUUCUCCUCUGGGGUUGAAAACAGAGAUUUACCCCACGACACGGCAGGUUUAAAGCUCCCUGUGGUGGAGGGUCGGGCCUCUGACUCCAGUAUGGGGACUGACCCUCAACCAGUAACCAGAGGCCUCAGGGACCAGUCCGUCCUCCUGUAGACUUGGAUUAGAGGAACACAGGAUGGAGUCAGGACACCCUGGGGGGAGUAAGGAACUACAGCCACUUCCUGUCCACAGGUUACUUUCACUUUGUGAACUCGUCGUGUCGCAGCUUCUUCUUCUGUCCAUGUGAAGUGUUUCCUCUACAGAUGAAGGUAGAAAGUCUCUGGGAGCUGAUGUGGAUGUGAAUUCAGCAGCAGCUGCCAAGGUAACAGGAUUGAUUUUGGAUUAUUGGACUAGCUGCCACUGCAUGCUCUGACUGGAUAUAGUAGACUUGGAAAAAGAGCAACAUUUCAACUGUUGAGGAGCUUUUCAAAAUACUGCAGCUCAAAGUG
Long non-coding RNA from Dicentrarchus labrax (European seabass), 607 nucleotides. RefSeq lists it as uncharacterized. The transcript is spliced from 4 exons. NCBI's taxonomy places the organism in Eukaryota, Metazoa, Chordata, Actinopteri, Moronidae. The record is from RefSeq and is a predicted model, not a curated record.